AUAUGUGAGGGCGAUCUGGCUACAACAUCUCUCACAUCACUGAUUGCCAGGGUUGAUUCAGCUUAUCUGGCUGGCCGGAUGGGUGUCCACUUCCUCCCUCACCGCUAGAGGUACUUCCCUCCCUAAGCUGUGAUCUUGGAACGACCUUACCUGAUAGAGGAGGACUGUUCCUCAGCCAAAAGUGGAUCUGUGCUCCCUUGCUAGAACCUCCAAACAAACUCUCCAUUUUACUUAGCUCCUUAACAUGAUUCAUUUACUCCUUUGAUAUUACUUACAGGUCAAAAGAUUCUUUUCCUAGCAAAUAGAAAGCAUUU
Molecule: small nuclear RNA, 314 nt
Filed under: Neogale vison (American mink)
Lineage: Eukaryota; Metazoa; Chordata; Mammalia; Carnivora; Mustelidae
Description: Neovison vison (American mink) 7SK RNA (ENSNVIG00000002718.1)
Rfam family: 7SK RNA
About the family: 7SK was discovered as an abundant small nuclear RNA in the mid-70s but a possible function has only recently been suggested. Two independent studies have found that 7SK RNA binds the CDK9/cyclin T complex (known as elongation factor P-TEFb). P-TEFb activates transcription by phosphorylating the C-terminal domain of RNA polymerase II.
Source: Rfam by way of RNAcentral